This 354-nucleotide ribosomal RNA is filed under the name SAR202 cluster bacterium. RNAcentral's name for it is "bacterial SSU rRNA". It matches the Rfam family "Bacterial small subunit ribosomal RNA", at positions 1 to 355 of the family's 1533-position model. The record is from RNAcentral. Lineage: Bacteria; Bacillati; Chloroflexota; Dehalococcoidia.
UAUUUAGAGUUUGAUCCUGGCUCAGGACGAACGCUGGCGGUGCGCCUAAUGCAUGCAAGUCGAACGGUCCUACCGAGCUUGCUCGGGACGGAUAGUGGCAGACGGCUGAGUAACACGUAAGUGAUCAACCCCGAAGCGGGGAAUAAUCUCGAGAAAUCGGGCCUAAUACCCCGUACGCUUUAGGGAAAAAGAUAACCCUAAAGGAAAGAUUUAUCGCUUUGGGACGAGCUUGCGGCCUAUCAGGUAGUUGGAAGGGUAACGGCCUACCAAGCCUAUAACGGGUAACCGGUGUGAGAGCACGAUCGGUCAGAGGGGGACUGAGACACGGCCCCCACUCCUACGGGAGGCAGCAGC